CAUUUUCUCCUUGAUUUGUAGCAGCAGUUUCUCCAUGUAUGUAUUUUCUACCGGCUCUUUCAUUUAGCACAGUUCUCUCUUUGCCUCCGAUUUGUUUGGUGCCGGGUUGCCUCUCCUCCGCUGGGUUUUUCUCUUGGUUUGGGUUUUAGAGAAAGGGUUUCAUUAUAUUAAUUGGGUUUAGGAGGCACACCUUCACAAUGGAUGGUUCCUCGGAAAAAUGUGGCGGGCAUAUUUUUUUACAGUGACACUCAAUAUUUUUCAAAUUGUAGGUUGCUUUUCUCAGGUCAAAGACGAGGAUUUGUUCGCAUAGCUAUGGAGAAGGGAUGUGAUACAGUGCCAGUUUUUAACUUUGGUCAGACUGAAGUCAAUAAAUGGUGGAAGCCUCAUGGCAAUUUGUUCCUGCAAAUUGGUAGAGCAAGGGUUGCGCCUAUCUUCCGGGGAAUUUGUGGAUCUCAUCUACCUUUCCGCAAACCAAUACAUGUGGUGGUUGGUGAACCAAUUAUGUUUUAAAAGAAUCCGCACCCCACUACGGAAGAGCUUUGAAGAAGCCACUGGCUUGGUCAUCAAAUUUAUUAUCGGCAGAAUAGGAGAUAAAGCAAAAGUGUCAGAACUCGUGAAGGAGGUGACAAAAUUUGAUGACUUCAUGCUCUUGGUUAUCAAAGAUGAGUAUAGUAAGCUCCCAUAUAAAUUAAUCCUUACAUUAGUUUCAUUUCGGUGAUGUGGAUACGUAAUCUGAUACUCAUGCAAACUUGUGCGUUUAUAUCAGGCUAACCUUCUUUAAAGCUGCCUAUGCACUUUAUGAUUCUGAGUUCUAUGUCAAAGUUGAUGCCGACAUAUAUUUGAGGCUAGGUUGAUAAUUUUAGAAAUCAUCCAUAAAAGUACAGGGUUCUGUUUCAGGUAUUAAAUUUGACAGAAAUUGAACUAAGCCGUGUAGAUAGGGAUGGCAACGGGUCGGAUCGGUUCGGAUAUCUGUGAUAUCCGAACCCGAACCCGAAAAUUUUCAUCAAACCCGAACCCGAACCGAACCCGAACGGAUUUGAAAAACCAAAACCGAACCCGAUCCAACGGAUUUCGGACCGGGUUCGGGUUUUAUCCAAACCCGAAUGAAUUACCAAAUCCAGAGCGGCGAUUUGAAAGAUGAAGCGGCGAAUAAAGUUGAAUCACCAGAUCUAGGGUUCUGUAGUUGGAGGCGGAUCUCAGACUCGGACUUGGAGAAGCAGCGGCAGUGGGGUUCCAGAGCGGCGAUUUGAAAGAUGAAGCGGAGAGGCGGCGAUUAGGGAUUCAUGACUGUGAGGCUGAGGCAGUGACUAGUGAGGCUCACUUAGCUUUAACGCUUUGAACAAUUCGAUAGCAAUUUGCACGAUUACACGUGACUAAUGAAUGACACCUAAACUACUUAAUAAUAUUGAGUAAUAUAAUAUAUAAUAUAUUGAAUAAUAUUUAUGGUCAAAAAUUAUAAAUAAUAUAUAUAAUAUAUAUAAUAUAAUAUAUAUUAUUCGGAUUUUUUUUCGGGUUUCGGGUUUGGAUCGGGUUCGGAUCGGAUUUGGAUUUCGGGUCGGGUUUCGAUACGGAAUACCUAAUAUCCAAAUCCAAAUCCAAACUCGUUCGGGUCUAAAAAUCAAAUCCAAAUCCAAAUCCAAAUCCAAAAUAUCGGGUUCGGUAAAAUCCAUUCGGGUCGAAACGGUCGGGUAUCCGUUCGGAUCGGUCUUUUCUGCCAUCCCUACGUGUAGAUAUCAAAGUGGGUUUAUCUGGUCCACUGGUUUACAUGGAUGGAUCGCAAGUUCUUAACUUUUGACAUUGCUGAACUAAAAAUUGCAUGGAACUGUAAGACGAAAAAGAUUAGUAUUUACUAUAAAUUUAAGGUCUUAUUAAUAUUUAUAGAAUAGAACUAAACUAAUUUGGCGUAUAUCUCCGCUUUGCUUCUGUGUUUUGCAUGUUUUGUAGGCAUCAGCCUCCUCCUCUGUCGGCAGCUCCCUUUCUUGAGCUAAUAUAAAUGUCUUCGAAUAACUUUGGUUGCUCUAAUAUAUACUUUGGUGUUUACUGAUUUACCAAGGUGUUCAUCGAUGUCCCUAGGUGGUAUUAUGCUUUCUAAAUUUGAUGAGCGACUAAUCUUAUGAGUGAUUGGUUCCUGUUGUCACCUUGAAGGCGACAAUAACAAGCAUAAAUUCAGGCCAGGGUUGGUAGUAUAUUGCUUGCAGAUCAUGUGUGACAAGAUUUGAAUUCAAGGAUGGGGUUUAUGUUUGCCAAUCUUGUGGACCACUCGAUUACCCUCUAGCUCUGAAGGCAUCAAAUAUUAAUAUUACACUUCCUGGUUUUCUUUCCUGGCACCAGUUGAAUCUCAUUGCAGUUCCUGUAUAUCUGUUAUGCUUCUUCCGACUAUUGCAGUUCCUAUAUAUCUAUUAUGCUUAUACAGGUUCUUUUUUUCUUUAAAUUGUGACAUUGUGUUAAUUAAUAACUGGCUACUAGGAUGGGGGAGGUUACUUUUAGAUUUUCCUCUUUUUUAGAGGCGUGUUUUCUAUUAUAUAAUUACUGCAUGUUUGGGUCUUACUUGUAUGUUAUUAAGAUUUCAGGAGUCAUGGAGCUGUUUUAUUAAUAUUGUUGAUUAACUGCUUGGUUGAGUGAUAGUGGAGGAUGAAGAACAAGAAGAUGGCGGUGACAGUGAUGAGGAAAUGCAAAAGAAAAGGAGGUGGAAGAAAAUCAGGAGAGUAAAAAGUUCAAGCGUUUGAAAUAAGAUCAAAGGGAUCAUCAUUCUGGACUUUCUGGUGGCAAUGAGUUUCAUAGAUCUGGGAGGGAUUUGAUCCAACACAGCUUAUUUGGGGAUGAUGAGGGAACAGAACUCGAAGACAUUGCAGAAGUGGAGCAACUAGAAGAAGACAAUGAACUUGGGGAUGAGGACGAUUUGGGUGAUUUCAUUGCUGAGGAAGAUUUGGACGGAGCAUGGUGCUCCUAUGAGGAGGGGUGUAAAUAAGCAAAAGCCUAGGCAGGCACAAGGAGUCUCUUCAUCUGCAUUACAGGAAGCUCAUGAUAUAUUUGGAAAUGUGGAUGAUUUAUUGAAGCGCCGUGCAUAUCAUGAUGACUCUGGCAGAAGAAAGGAAAGAAGGCUUUGCGGUGGAUUUGAUCCAAAUAUUCUCGCAGAAAAGUAUAUGACUGAGAAGGGUGACUUGAUUCGUAACACAGGUUUUCCAGAAAGGUGGCAGAUCUUCGAACAUAGUACUGGCCCGCCCCCAACAGAUGAAUCGAGUAAUGAGUAUAGAUGAAGAGAGUCUUGGAUUUGCAAUGAGCUAGAAAGAUGAUACAUUUGUUUGGAAGAAUUGUUGAAAUCCUUGAGCUGUCAAUAGUCAAGGAAGAUGUGAUGAGAUUCUUGGAUUUAUUCAUAUCCAGAAAUUGGUUGUAAGUGAUGUCUUCUAUAAUGAUCUCGAGUUGUGUCUUGGCCUUCAUGUUGAAAUUACAUAUUCUUGCUAUAGGUGCCUUUUGUUACAAUGUACAGAAAGGAUGAAUGCCAAGUCAGUUUAAGGAUCCAGAGCAGCUAAAGCGCCAGUAGAACGAGUCAUAUGUAUCCUUCUAAAUGUAAAGCUUAGGUGUAGAAAAAUAAAAGCUAUGGACAAGUUAUUUAUAAUAUUCAUCCCCACAAAUGUUUUCUGGGAUUAUCUAUAAUAAUAUUUAUGCUUAACUGCUUUUUUUUAUAAGGUGUACCAUUUGGUACAAGAUUGUAAUCUCAAAGAAUAUGUGCAGGUAUUCAGUCUGCUCUUUGAUUUGCCAUUUUAUGUUUUGUACUGGAUUGCCUCUGCUAGAUUGGGCCCUGACACAUAUAAACUUACAAUCAGCGCCAUGCUCUCUCCCUAUCUGUAUUACACAUCCGCAUGAGGGUUAUAUCGCCGAUUGCGGUCGACAAGGCGGAUGUGGAGACCAAAGCAUACAGAUUCUUAUAUGCUGGGGUGUUUCAGGCCAAAUGUGAUACGUAUAAGUUUAUUGCUUUGCUUAGUGUUCUCUCCCUUGUGUUCAGGUUUCACAACUCCGGACUAAAAAGGGGCUUACAAAGGUUUUUUACAAUGUCGGAUCAUGGCCUGCUUCUGAAGCCGAGUCCUGAGUCUUAGAAGUUUCAGAUCUUAUUAAAAGGUAGUACAUGUUACAUAAUUCAUCCUUUCAGAUGCCUGCAAAUUUUGUUUUUAUUAUAUUAGAUUAGAUGUGGCAGGUGUAGCUUUUGGCAUUAGUGGAAAUCACAUGAGCUGAAAAACUUGGAAAUUUUUUAACUUUUUAGUAUUUGAAGAACUGGAAUACAAGAUUCUUAUAAUGCCAUGUUGAAUCAUAGAUUUUGUUACAGCAGUGCUUGCUUUUCGGUUUUGAGUUUCUUUGCAUUUGAGACAACCAGGCCUACACUUCUGCACCAUUAUCUUGGAUGGAAGCAGCUCCUAAAAGAUGAUCUUUGCUUAGUUGUUCCACUUAAGUGAAGUGACAGUGGAUCUCUUAAGUGAUGUGCCAUGUCAAGUUAGGGCAAUUGUAUUUAAUCCCCUUAUGUUUUCAAUCAUACUAUGAGAAUUGCCUUAGUUUAUUUCUAGGAGUACUGUAGCAUUUCAUUUCAACACAAAAGGCCUCUUUGCCAGCAGUUUUUAUUUCUUUUCUAAUAGAAGCAAUUUUAGUUACAUCGGCUCGGACGACAAACUUGUACUAAUAACAUGUCUUUAUGUCUUUGUAGUCAAAAGUUCUUUUUACGGGAUA
Molecule: RNA transcript, 4716 nt
Organism: Daucus carota subsp. sativus
Lineage: Eukaryota; Viridiplantae; Streptophyta; Magnoliopsida; Apiales; Apiaceae
Gene name: transcription elongation factor SPT6 homolog
Exons: 9
Source: RefSeq, a predicted model, not a curated record